This 331-nucleotide ribosomal RNA is filed under the name Gammaproteobacteria bacterium. Its description in RNAcentral is "partial 23S ribosomal RNA". It matches the Rfam family "Bacterial large subunit ribosomal RNA", at positions 2599 to 2925 of the family's 2925-position model. Lineage: Bacteria; Pseudomonadati; Pseudomonadota; Gammaproteobacteria. The record is from RNAcentral.
CGCGAGCUGGGUUUAGAACGUCGUGAGACAGUUCGGUCCCUAUCUGCCGUGGGCGUUUGAGAUUUGAGAGGAGCUGCUCCUAGUACGAGAGGACCGGAGUGGACGAACCUCUGGUGUUCCGGUUGUUACGCCAGUAGCAUUGCCGGGUAGCUAAGUUCGGACGGGAUAACCGCUGAAAGCAUCUAAGCGGGAAGCCUCCCUCAAGAUAAGUUCUCACAAAUCUUUAAGAUUUCUGAAGGGCCCUCGUAGACUACGAGGUUGAUAGGCGGGAUGUGGAAGCGCCGUGAGGCGUUAAGCUAACCCGUACUAAUUGCCCGUGCGACUUGACCAU